CCGAGCACAAUCCCAUAAUGAGACAUGGGAAAACUAAAGGACUCUUGCUUUUAACCUUGCUAGACUUAAGCGUCCUAUCCGAGUGACCACUUAGAACAACUUCUUUCAUCCACCUAGAAAUUAUUCCUGCCACAUCUAUUUCCAUAUCCUCAUUAAUGUAAUGGAUGAGGCCUAGGAUGUUCAUGGUAGCAUCUGAAGGGUGGGAAUUAGGUUGGAUGUUGUACAAGACCAGAUUAAACAGCAGCACAGUGAAGGUUUUCAUGUCCUCUCUCAUUGCCCUCAAAGGUGUUUGAGUCGCAUUGAAGACAAAAUCGGUGUUUGGUCGAAGCAGCUUACUCCUCAUGGAUGGAACAUCCCAAGUUCCCCGAUUCCGU
RNAcentral lists this long non-coding RNA (374 nucleotides) under Trifolium pratense (red clover). RNAcentral describes it as "long non-coding RNA (TPRA_LNC005994)". The record is from RNAcentral. Lineage: Eukaryota; Viridiplantae; Streptophyta; Magnoliopsida; Fabales; Fabaceae.